GACGAACGCUGGCGGCGUGCCUAAUACAUGCAAGUAGAACGCUGAAGGAGGAGCUUGCUCUUCUGGAUGAGUUGCGAACGGGUGAGUAACGCGUAGGUAACCUGCCUGGUAGCGGGGGAUAACUAUUGGAAACGAUAGCUAAUACCGCAUAAGAGUAGAUGUUGCAUGACAUUUGCUUAAAAGGUGCAAUUGCAUCACUACCAGAUGGACCUGCGUUGUAUUAGCUAGUUGGUGGGGUAACGGCUCACCAAGGCGACGAUACAUAGCCGACCUGAGAGGGUGAUCGGCCACACUGGGACUGAGACACGGCCCAGACUCCUACGGGAGGCAGCAGUAGGGAAUCUUCGGCAAUGGACGGAAGUCUGACCGAGCAACGCCGCGUGAGUGAAGAAGGUUUUCGGAUCGUAAAGCUCUGUUGUAAGAGAAGAACGAGUGUGAGAGUGGAAAGUUCACACUGUGACGUAUCUACCAGAAA
This 475-nucleotide ribosomal RNA is filed under the name Streptococcus sp. oral taxon 064. RNAcentral describes it as "bacterial SSU rRNA". It matches the Rfam family "Bacterial small subunit ribosomal RNA", at positions 28 to 489 of the family's 1533-position model. Lineage: Bacteria; Bacillati; Bacillota; Bacilli; Lactobacillales; Streptococcaceae. The record is from RNAcentral.